AUGGAAGAAGCAGCAGCCGGCGCCGGCGCCGGCGCCGCGCUGGAGGUGGUGGUGUUCCCAUGGCUGGCGUUCGGGCACAUGCUCUCGUUCCUCGAGCUGUCCAAGCGCCUGGCGGCUCGUGGCCACGCCGUCGCCUUCCUCUCCACGCCACGGAACCUUGCCAGGCUCCCGCCGGUGCCGCCGCACCUCUCGCCUCGCCUCCGCUUCGUGUCGCUGCCGCUGCCGCGCGUCGACGGGCUGCCGGAAGGCGCCGAGUCCACGGCCGACGUGCCGCCCGACAAGAUCGAGCUCCUCAAGAAGGCCAUGGACGGGCUCGCGGCCCCGCUCACCGCGUUCCUGGCCGACGCCGUCGCUGCUGGCAGGAGGCCCGACUGGAUCGUCCAUGACUUCUGCCACCACUGGGUCCCGCCCAUCGCCGGCGGGCACGGUGUGCCGUGCGCCGUGUUCAUCAUCGUCUACGCCACCUUCAUGGCCUUCGUGGGGCCGCGGUCGGCGAACGCCAAGCACCCGCGCGCGGCGACAGAGGACUUCGCCGUCGCGCCCAGGUGGAUCCCGUUCCCGUCCACGAUCGCGUACCGACGCCGCAGCGAGGCCGAGUGGAUCGCCGCCGCCUUCCGCGCCAACGCGUCCGGCGUGUCCGACAUGGACCGCGUGUGGCGGCUCUUCGAGCGCUGCCGCCUGGCCAUCUACCGGAGCUGCGACGAGGUCGAGCCCGGGAUGUUCGCCCUCCUAGCCGACCUCUUCCAGCAGCCCGUCAUCCCCGCCGGGAUCCUGCUUCCUGCCGUGAUCGCUGAUGGCGACGGAGAGCGUCCUGAAACCCUGCGCUGGCUCGACGACCAGCCCGCCAAGUCAGUCAUCUACGUCGCGCUGGGGAGCGAGGCGCCGCUGACUCCAGGGAUCCUGCACGAGCUCGCGCUCGGGCUGGAGCUCGCCGGGGUGCGCUUCCUGUGGGCUCUACGCAGGCCGUCCGGGAUGUUCAGCGCCGCCAUCGACGCCGUCACGGACGACGAUCUCCUGCCCGCCGGGUUCGAGGAGCGGACGCGGGGGAGAGGGCUGGUGCGCACCGGGUGGGUGCCACAGGUGGGGUGA
RNAcentral lists this ribosomal RNA (1089 nucleotides) under Triticum aestivum (bread wheat). RNAcentral describes it as "partial small subunit ribosomal RNA". The record is from RNAcentral. Lineage: Eukaryota; Viridiplantae; Streptophyta; Magnoliopsida; Poales; Poaceae.